Molecule: ribosomal RNA, 164 nt
Filed under: Rubus sulcatus
Lineage: Eukaryota; Viridiplantae; Streptophyta; Magnoliopsida; Rosales; Rosaceae
Description: 5.8S ribosomal RNA
Rfam family: 5.8S ribosomal RNA
About the family: 5.8S ribosomal RNA (5.8S rRNA) is a component of the large subunit of the eukaryotic ribosome. It is transcribed by RNA polymerase I as part of the 45S precursor that also contains 18S and 28S rRNA.
Source: RNAcentral
UAAACGACUCUCGGCAACGGAUAUCUCGGCUCUCGCAUCGAUAAAGAACGUAGCGAAAUGCGAUACUUGGUGUGAAUUGCAGAAUCCCGUGAACCAUCGAGUCUUUGAACGCAAGUUGCGCCCGAAGCCAUUAGGCCGAGGGCACGCCUGCCUGGGCGUCACAC